AUGUAAUUAAAUAUAAAAAGGUGGCAUGAUUAGUUAAGGAUCAACUGGCUUGUCUGUGUUUCCUGAAUGUAUGUUUUACCAUUUUUGCCCUGGAUAUUUGGCAGGAAGCUGGCCUGGAGGACUGGAGCCCAUUGCGGUGUAUCCUCUUGUCUGAGCCCCACAGUCUCCCCGAGGAGCCAGCAUCCUGUGCUGUAUGGGCCAGAGUGUGCUGAGCAAGGGAAGGAAUCCCAUGCUUUGGCCUCAUUUUCUCUUGAUAGGUGACUAAACUGCAGGAAUGUGAACUGAAGACAAGAAGCCCAGCCUCUCCCGGCCUUCCUCCUGGGGCUGUGUCUGGCUGCCCGUGAGCUGAGUCGGAGGCAUGGCCAGUACCGGAGCUGAGCAGAAGUGACUAUAGGACAAGACUUUCUUCGUGUACUUUCACAUCCAGUGGCCCAUAGGAGACACUUGAGCCCAGGACAGUUCCAUUUACAGAUGUGUAAACUGAGAUUCUAAGACAUAAGGUGACUUUCUUGCAGUGACAUAGCAUAUAAUAGAGUCAAGAUUCCAACUCAGCUCCUUCUAAAUACCUCCUAAUCUUUUUGAAGUGACUGUCGACAGGUGCAUUCCUCAGAGUUAAACUGGAAUAUAGACUGACAAUGAAUACAUGUGGAAAAUGUUGGCUUUGAUAAAGAGAUUUCUUUACGGAAGGACUUCUCAGAGCAUUCGGUUACCUACAUCCACAGUGAAUUUUUCCAAGAAAGCCAUACAGAAUGCAGAAUUGCCCGAACUUUUUGACUACCAUAUCCUAUUUCUUCCUGAGGCAUCUCUGGAAUACGGUGAUAUAAAACAGAGGUUGGCAAAUGUUUUCUGUAAAGUACCAGAUAAUAAAUAUUUUCAGCUUGGGAGGCCAUAUGGUCUCUGUUGUAACUACUCACCUCUUCUGUUGUAGCUGAAAGCGGCCAUACACAGUAUGUAAACAAGUGGCUGUGUGCCAGUAAAACUUCAUUUACGAAACAGACCUCUGGCCUGCAGGUUUUGGUUUACCUACCCCUGUUCUAAAACAUUAAUUACAGAGACUUGGGUGUCACCCUAGACCUCUCCCUUUCCUCUACUUCCUGUGUACAUCCCACCUGCCAGGGCCUUGAACCCUAUCUCCAAAGUAUAUACAUCUGUUGUGGUCUCCAUUUCCACUUGUGCUACUUUAGAUGCAGGCCGCCAUCACCAGCACCUUAUGCUCCCAGCUGGCCUUCCUCUUUCGCUUAUCCCAUCAUUCUGUAG
Molecule: long non-coding RNA, 1257 nt
Organism: Lynx canadensis (Canada lynx)
Lineage: Eukaryota; Metazoa; Chordata; Mammalia; Carnivora; Felidae
Exons: 4
Source: RefSeq, a predicted model, not a curated record